Long non-coding RNA from Helianthus annuus (common sunflower), 1125 nucleotides. RefSeq lists it as uncharacterized. Lineage: Eukaryota; Viridiplantae; Streptophyta; Magnoliopsida; Asterales; Asteraceae. The transcript has 4 exons. The record is from RefSeq and is a predicted model, not a curated record.
CAAUGGAGGUUGUACAUAUGGCAUAGAUAAUGUUCCAGGCUAACCUGUUGUACAUUGCUUUAUAUGUUUUACAAGCAGUUGCUUAUUGUCCAACCACUACUUCCUUUUUCAAGAGAGAAGGGGAGACAUGCCAUAGUAAACCCUAGCUCCACCCUUCCACCGCUUCGACGCCGCGCUGGUGUCACAGUCACUAUCAACGUUUCAACCCCAACAGUGGCAACGACAAGAAGUGAUUUGAGGGUUUAGAACUGAUUUGAGGGAUUUGAGGGUUUAGCACUGAUUUGAGGUUCCGCAAAAAGAGGCGAAAGGAAGAAAGAGAGAGAGAGUGGAAUCGGAAUUGGUUUUCCGGCGUAUAGGGUUUCGAUUAUGAGCUAAAGACCGAGCUUUGCCAUCUCAAUUCUUAAAGACCAGGUUAAGGAUGAAGUAGUAUGUUACAAGUAGUAUAAGCAAGGGUACAUGUUGGGAAGUUAAUUGCUAUAGUUUUUUGUUGAAAACAAACUCAUGAAAAUUUUGCUGAUCAACUGGAACUUGGAGCUGGAUACUUAAUGGGUCAACAAGGAGCUUGGGGGUGUCUCAAGUACAUCCCACAUUGGUCAACGGAAAGCUCAUCAUAGCUUUGUUGAUGGCCUACCGUUUACCCUAAAAAGGCUAUCUGAGGUGAAUGUGCUAUUAUUUGUUAAUCGUUGUUUGAUUCAUCUUUUUCCUUAAACCACAUGCUACCUUUUAAUUUGGUGUGAAUUCUUGUAUUUAAUUUGGCAUGGACGUGGAAGCAACCGAGAAACCAUCAGAAUCAAGUUCCCGGAGGACAACAGAUGCGAAGGAAGAGAGAGAGUGGAAUCGACUUGGUUUUCAGACGUAUAGGGUUUCGAUUAUGAGCUACAUGAGCUUCGCCAUCUCAAUUCUCAAAGACCAGGUGUGUCGUUUGUGUUUUUCCGGGGUGCGUCUAGGUGGUAUAUAUACUUAUACUGAAUACAACCUAAGUUGCAACCAUAAUACAUAUACAAAUCUAGGCAUAAACUCUUGGUUGCAGCUCAUGUAUCUAACUUGAUGGAAAUAUAAAUUUAGCCCCCGCCGCGGGUUACUUUUCUAGUUGAUCAAUCUAAAAUGGAUGAUUGAGAUUGCAUU